Molecule: unclassified non-coding RNA, 217 nt
Filed under: Hevea brasiliensis (rubber tree)
Lineage: Eukaryota; Viridiplantae; Streptophyta; Magnoliopsida; Malpighiales; Euphorbiaceae
Source: RNAcentral
GUCAGUAUAGUCAAUGCCUUCUAGCUGGUUAAAGCCUUUUGCGACAAGACGUCCUUUAUAUCGGUCCACACUACCAUCUUGAUUAUAUUUGAUUCUGAAAACCCAUUUAGAUGCGAUGGGUUUUUUAUGUGUGGGAUGAGGAACCAUGUCCCAUGUUUGAUUGAGCUCUAAUGCAUCAAGUUCUUGUUGCAUGGCUUGAGUCCAGUUUGGAUCUAUU